UACGAAGGGGGCUAGCGUUGCUCGGAAUCACUGGGCGGAAAGGGUGCGUAGGCGGGUCUUUAAGUCAGGGGUGAAAUCCUGGAGCUCAACUCCAGAACUGCCUUUGAUACUGAGGAUCUUGAGUUCGGGAGAGGUGAGUGGAACUGCGAGUGUAGAGGUGAAAUUCGUAGAUAUUCGCAAGAACACCAGUGGCGAAGGCGGCUCACUGGCCCGAUACUGACGCUGAGGUGCGAAAGCGUGGGGAGCAAACAGG
Molecule: ribosomal RNA, 253 nt
Filed under: uncultured bacterium
Lineage: Bacteria
Description: partial 16S ribosomal RNA
Rfam family: Bacterial small subunit ribosomal RNA
Source: RNAcentral